AUGGUACCCAAUACUUCCAUUCUCCGAUUGUUCUCUCCUCACGUCGCAAUCCACCGCUGGACCUCGACAUCGGCCUACAGAGUGGCUCAUACUUCUUCCGCAUCCCAGAUCAGCAGCUUCCUUUCUAAAAGGGUCUAUACGCCGCCGCCUUGGGCUUCAGACCUCUCCGUCAUCCCAUCCCACAACUACACCCUCGGCCAAUUUCCAACUCCAAUUCACAAAUGGAACCUCCCCAAUUUGCCAAAAGGCACAGAAGUAUGGAUCAAGCGGGAUGAUCUCACUGGCAUGGAACUGAGCGGGAAUAAAGUUCGGAAGCUCGAAUUUCUGAUGGCAGAUGCCGUUGCACAGGGUGCCGAUUGUGUUAUCACUAUCGGUGGUAUCCAGAGCAACCAUUGCCGAGCGACUGCCGUCGCUGCCAAGUACGUUAAUCUUGAUUGCUAUCUGGUACUUGUUACCUCCAAGCUUCUUGUGAACGAAGAUCCUGGUUUGGUUGGUAAUCUCCUUGUCGAGAGAUUAUUGGGAGCGCACAUUGACCUUGUCUCGAAAAGAGAUUUUGUUAAAAUUGGGGGUUUGGCUUUAACUGACUUGCUAAAAAAGAGGCUUUUGGAAAAAGGACGGAAGCCAUAUGUGAUUUCUGGUGGUGGAUCCAACUCAUUGGGAGAUUGGGGAUAUAUUGAAGCAGUAAGGGAGAUUGAGCAGCAAAUUCAGUUAUCUGGUGAUGUUCAGUUUGAUGACAUUGUUGUUGCAUGCGGCAGUGGUGGAACCGUUGCUGGUCUUGCUUUAGGAUCACAAUUGAGUAGCAUAAAGGCAAAAGUCCAUGGAUUCUCUGUUUGUUAUAACCCUGGAUACUUCUAUGACAAUGUACAAGGUCUCAUUGAUGGACUUCAACCUGAUUUGAAUUCCCAUGAUAUAGUCAGGAUUGAAGAUGCUAAGGGCUUAGGCUAUGCCAUGAGCACACCUGAAGAGCUUAAAUUUGUGAAGGAUAUAGCUGCAGCAACAGGCAUUGUGCUUGAUCCAGACAUGCACGGUUUUGUUUUUUAUAGCGGCAAGGCAGCGUGUGUUAUGCUGAAAGACAUGUCCAACAAUCCAACCAAGUGGGAAGGGCGGAAGGUCCUCUUUGUCCAUACUGGUGGUCUCCUUGGGUUGUAUGAUAAGGUGGAUCAGUUGUCAUGUUUGGCUGGGAGAUGGCGCAAAAUGGACCUUGAAGAAUUGAUCCAUGCAAAGGGGGAAUGGCGGACCCAGGAACUUGUUGAAGCUUAG
This 1260-nucleotide ribosomal RNA is filed under the name Triticum aestivum (bread wheat). RNAcentral's name for it is "partial small subunit ribosomal RNA". Lineage: Eukaryota; Viridiplantae; Streptophyta; Magnoliopsida; Poales; Poaceae. The record is from RNAcentral.